RNAcentral lists this ribosomal RNA (557 nucleotides) under uncultured bacterium. Its description in RNAcentral is "partial 16S ribosomal RNA". It matches the Rfam family "Bacterial small subunit ribosomal RNA", at positions 355 to 928 of the family's 1533-position model. The record is from RNAcentral.
UGGGGAAUAUUGCACAAUGGGCGAAAGCCUGAUGCAGCAACGCCGCGUGAGUGAUGAAGGCCUUCGGGUUGUAAAGCUCUGUCUUUUGGGACGAUAAUGACGGUACCAAAGGAGGAAGCCACGGCUAACUACGUGCCAGCAGCCGCGGUAAUACGUAGGUGGCAAGCGUUGUCCGGAUUUACUGGGCGUAAAGGAUGCGUAGGCGGAUUUUUAAGUGAGAUGUGAAAACCCUAAGCUUAACUUGGGGACUGCAUUUCAUACUGGAAAUCUAGAGUGCGGGAGAGGAGAAUGGAAUUCCUAGUGUAGCGGUGAAAUGCGUAGAGAUUAGGAAGAACACCAGUGGCGAAGGCGAUUCUCUGGACCGUAACUGACGCUGAGGCAUGAAAGCGUGGGUAGCAAACAGGAUUAGAUACCCUGGUAGUCCACGCCGUAAACGAUGAGUACUAGGUGUAGGAGGUAUCGACCCCUUCUGUGCCGCAGUUAACACAAUAAGUACUCCGCCUGGGAAGUACGAUCGCAAGAUUAAAACUUAAAGGAAUUGACGGGGGUCAUAGCUG